RNAcentral lists this ribosomal RNA (420 nucleotides) under bacterium. RNAcentral describes it as "partial 16S ribosomal RNA". It matches the Rfam family "Bacterial small subunit ribosomal RNA", at positions 355 to 776 of the family's 1533-position model. The record is from RNAcentral.
UGGGGGAUAUUGCACAAUGGGCGAAAGCCUGAUGCAGCGACGCCGCGUGGGGGAUGAAGGCUUUCGGGUUGUAAACCUCUUUCGCUAUCGAACAAGGCCCGCUUAGGGUGGGUUGAGGGUAGGUGGAGAAGAAGCGCCGGCUAACUACGUGCCAGCAGCCGCGGUAAUACGUAGGGCGCGAGCGUUGUCCGGAAAUAUUGGGCGUAAAGGGCUUGUAGGCGGCUUGUUGCGCCUGCUGUGAAAACGCGGGGCUUAACUUCGCGCGUGCAGUGGGUACGGGCAGGCUAGGGUGUGGUAGGGGUGACUGGAAUUCCAGGUGUAGCGGUGGAAUGCGCAGAUGUCUGAUGGGACACCGAUGGCGAAGGCAGGUCACUGGGCCAUUACUGACGCUGAGGAGCGAAAGCAUGGGUAGCGAACAGG